GGGGAAUUUUGGACAAUGGGGGAAACCCUGAUCCAGCCAUGCCGCGUGCGGGAUGAAGGCCUUCGGGUUGUAAACCGCUUUUGUCAGAGACGAAAAGGGACGCACGAAUAAUACGUUCCGCUGACGGUAUCUGAAGAAUAAGCACCGGCUAACUACGUGCCAGCAGCCGCGGUAAUACGUAGGGUGCAAGCGUUAAUCGGAAUUACUGGGCGUAAAGGGUGCGCAGGCGGCUGUGCAAGACAGAUGUGAAAUCCCCGGGCUUAACCUGGGAACUGCAUUUGUGACUGCACGGCUAGAGUUUGUCAGAGGAGGGUGGAAUUCCGCGUGUAGCAGUGAAAUGCGUAGAUAUGCGGAAGAACACCAAUGGCGAAGGCGGCCCCCUGGACAAAGACUGACGCUCAGGUGCGAAAGCGUGGGGAGCAAAC
RNAcentral lists this ribosomal RNA (425 nucleotides) under uncultured bacterium. Its description in RNAcentral is "bacterial SSU rRNA". It matches the Rfam family "Bacterial small subunit ribosomal RNA", at positions 356 to 773 of the family's 1533-position model. The record is from RNAcentral.